CCUGGUGGCCAUAGAGCGUCGGAACCACCCGAUCCCAUCCCGAACUCGGAAGUGAAACGGCGCCUCGCCAAUGAUAGUGGGAAUCCCCGCGAAAGUAGGUCACCGCCAGGC
Molecule: ribosomal RNA, 111 nt
Filed under: uncultured Gammaproteobacteria bacterium
Lineage: Bacteria; Pseudomonadati; Pseudomonadota; Gammaproteobacteria
Source: RNAcentral